AAAUUGAAGAGUUUGAUCAUGGCUCAGAUUGAACGCUGGCGGCAGGCCUAACACAUGCAAGUCGAGCGGUAGCACAGAGAGCUUGCUCUCGGGUGACGAGCGGCGGACGGGUGAGUAAUGUCUGGGAAACUGCCUGAUGGAGGGGGAUAACUACUGGAAACGGUAGCUAAUACCGCAUAACGUCGCAAGACCAAAGUGGGGGACCUUCGGGCCUCAUGCCAUCAGAUGUGCCCAGAUGGGAUUAGCUAGUAGGUGGGGUAACGGCUCACCUAGGCGACGAUCCCUAGCUGGUCUGAGAGGAUGACCAGCCACACUGGAACUGAGACACGGUCCAGACUCCUACGGGAGGCAGCAGUGGGGAAUAUUGCACAAUGGGCGCAAGCCUGAUGCAGCCAUGCCGCGUGUGUGAAGAAGGCCUUCGGGUUGUAAAGCACUUUCAGCGGGGAGGAAGGCGAUAAGGUUAAUAACCUUGUCGAUUGACGUUACCCGCAGAAGAAGCACCGGCUAACUCCGUGCCAGCAGCCGCGGUAAUACGGAGGGUGCAAGCGUUAAUCGGAAUUACUGGGCGUAAAGCGCACGCAGGCGGUCUGUCAAGUCGGAUGUGAAAUCCCGGGCUCAACCUGGGAACUGCAUUCGAAACUGGCAGGCUAGAGUCUUGUAGAGGGGGGUAGAAUUCCAGGUGUAGCGGUGAAAUGCGUAGAGAUCUGGAGGAAUACCGGUGGCGAAGGCGGCCCCCUGGACAAAGACUGACGCUCAGGUGCGAAAGCGUGGGGAGCAAACAGGAUUAGAUACCCUGGUAGUCCACGCCGUAAACGAUGUCGAUUUGGAGGUUGUGCCCUUGAGGCGUGGCUUCCGGAGCUAACGCGUUAAAUCGACCGCCUGGGGAGUACGGCCGCAAGGUUAAAACUCAAAUGAAUUGACGGGGGCCCGCACAAGCGGUGGAGCAUGUGGUUUAAUUCGAUGCAACGCGAAGAACCUUACCUGGUCUUGACAUCCACAGAACUUAGCAGAGAUGCUUUGGUGCCUUCGGGAACUGUGAGACAGGUGCUGCAUGGCUGUCGUCAGCUCGUGUUGUGAAAUGUUGGGUUAAGUCCCGCAACGAGCGCAACCCUUAUCCUUUGUUGCCAGCGGUUCGGCCGGGAACUCAAAGGAGACUGCCAGUGAUAAACUGGAGGAAGGUGGGGAUGACGUCAAGUCAUCAUGGCCCUUACGACCAGGGCUACACACGUGCUACAAUGGCAUAUACAAAGAGAAGCGACCUCGCGAGAGCAAGCGGACCUCAUAAAGUAUGUCGUAGUCCGGAUUGGAGUCUGCAACUCGACUCCAUGAAGUCGGAAUCGCUAGUAAUCGUAGAUCAGAAUGCUACGGUGAAUACGUUCCCGGGCCUUGUACACACCGCCCGUCACACCAUGGGAGUGGGUUGCAAAAGAAGUAGGUAGCUUAACCUUCGGGAGGGCGCUUACCACUUUGUGAUUCAUGACUGGGGUGAAGUCGUAACAAGGUAACCGUAGGGGAACCUGCGGUUGGAUCACCUCCUUA
Molecule: ribosomal RNA, 1539 nt
Filed under: Klebsiella pneumoniae subsp. pneumoniae ATCC 43816
Lineage: Bacteria; Pseudomonadati; Pseudomonadota; Gammaproteobacteria; Enterobacterales; Enterobacteriaceae
Description: bacterial SSU rRNA
Rfam family: Bacterial small subunit ribosomal RNA
Source: RNAcentral